GGGGCUGUUACGGAUUCGACAGGCAUAGUUUGAGCUUGAAUUGCGCUUCGUAGGUUACGUCUACGUGAAAACGUUACAGUUAAAUAUAACUGCUAAAAACAACAAUAACUCUUACGCUUUAGCUGCCUAAAAACAGUUAGCGUAGAUCCUCUCGGUAUCGCCCAUGUGCUCGAGUAAGGGUCCUAUUCUAAGUGGGAUACGUUUCAACUUUCCGUCUGCAAGUUGAAAAAGAGCUUAUCAGACUAGCAAUGUUCGCGGCCAGUCAUGCGGCAGAGAACAAAGCGAAACUUAAAUAGUAUGACUAUGAGCGUAGAUUUUUAGGUGGUCGAUAUGUUUGGACGCGGGUUCGACUCCCGCCAGCUCCAUUA
Molecule: non-coding RNA, 368 nt
Organism: Enterococcus hermanniensis
Lineage: Bacteria; Bacillati; Bacillota; Bacilli; Lactobacillales; Enterococcaceae
Rfam family: transfer-messenger RNA
About the family: Bacterial tmRNA, also known as 10Sa RNA or SsrA, is named for its dual tRNA and mRNA-like properties. Its role is to liberate the mRNA from a stalled ribosome. To accomplish this part of the tmRNA is used as a reading frame that ends in a translation stop signal.
Source: Rfam